AGAGUUUGAUCCUGGCUCAGGAUGAACGCUAGCGACAGGCUUAACACAUGCAAGUCGAGGGGCAGCGGGGGCGUAGCAAUAUGCCUGCCGGCGACCGGCGCACGGGUGAGUAACACGUAUGUAACCUGCCCUAUGCAGGGGGAUAACCCGGAGAAAUCCGGCCUAAUACCGCGUAACACCUUAGGGGAGCAUUCUCUUGAGGUUAAAGGAGAGAUCCGGCAUAGGAUGGACAUGCGUCGCAUUAGGUAGACGGCGGGGUAACGGCCCACCGUGCCGACGAUGCGUAGGGGUUCUGAGAGGAAGGCCCCCCACACUGGUACUGAGACACGGACCAGACUCCUACGGGAGGCAGCAGUGAGGAAUAUUGGUCAAUGGCCGAGAGGCUGAACCAGCCAAGUCGCGUGAGGGAAGAAUGUCCUAAGGAUUGUAAACCUCUUUUGUCGGGGAGCAAAAAGGCUCUGCGGAGUCGUAUUGAGAGUACCCGAAGAAAAAGCAUCGGCUAACUCCGUGCCAGCAGCCGCGGUAAUACGGAGGAUGCGAGCGUUAUCCGGAUUUAUUGGGUUUAAAGGGUGCGCAGGCGGCGUGUCAAGCAAGCGGUAAAAUAGCGGGGCUCAACCCCGUCGAGCCGUUUGAACUGGCGCGCUUGAGUUCAGGCGAGGUAGGCGGAAUUCGUGGUGUAGCGGUGAAAGGCAUAGAUAUCACGAAGAACUCCGAUUCCGAAGGCAGCUUACCAGUCUGCGACUGACGCUCAGGCACGAAAGUGUGGGUAUCGAACAAGAUUAGAUACCCUGGUAGUCCACACAGUAAACGAUGAGCGCUAGGUGUCCGGGUCGCAUGAGACUUGGGUGCCCGAGCGAAAGCGUUAAGCGCUCCACCUGGGGAGUACGCCGGCAACGGUGAAACUCAAAGGAAUUGACGGGGGCCCGCACAAGCGGAGGAACAUGUGGUUUAAUUCGAUGAUACGCGAGGAACCUUACCCGGGCUCAAACGACUCAGGAAUAUAUUGGAAACGAUGUAGCCAGCAAUGGUCUGAGUCGAGGUGCUGCAUGGUUGUCGUCAGCUCGUGCCGUGAGGUGUCGGCUUAAGUACCAUAACGAGCGCAACCCCUACCGCCAGUUGCCAACGGGUAAAGCCGGGAACUCUGGCGGGACUGCCGGCGCAAGCUGCGAGGAAGGCGGGGAUGACGUCAAAUCAGCACGGCCCUUACGUCCGGGGCGACACACGUGUUACAAUGGCAGGUACAGCGGGAAGCCACCUGGUGACAGGGAGCGGAACCCGAAAGCCUGUCUCAGUUCGGAUUGGAGUCUGCAACUCGACUCCAUGAAGCUGGAUUCGCUAGUAAUCGCGCAUCAGCCAUGGCGCGGUGAAUAAAUUCCCGGGCCUUGUACACACCGCCCGUCAAG
Molecule: ribosomal RNA, 1403 nt
Filed under: uncultured bacterium
Lineage: Bacteria
Description: partial 16S ribosomal RNA
Rfam family: Bacterial small subunit ribosomal RNA
Source: RNAcentral